GGCUACAGCAAGCCCCCCUCCUGGCAAGAGGCCAGGACAAAGAAGAGAAGAAGGGUGUGUCCCAGGCUUUUAACCCACUUCCAAAGGGGAGUGGUUAAUUAACCUGAUUGGCUAUUGGCACCCAGGUGUGGCCAGGUAGGGGCACGAGGUCACACAGGGGCAUGGUGAAGUCAUGGUCUUCCAGCUAGAAGGAUGCCCUUUGACCACUGGGCUUCUGUCCUGAUAAGGGAACAUGAAGGUUUAGCCAAGAACCGCAACUAGAAAAACGAUUUGUACUUCAGCUAAGUCUUAAUUACUCCAACAUUGCUGGCAUUUUAAUAUUUAUGAAGAAAAGAUUGCUAAGGAUUCAUAUUUCACAUGCUUCUCCCUUCUUAAUUGAAGGAAAAAGUUCCUGAAUCCUACUGGACCUUGUAUCUCCUCUUUGACACUCA
Molecule: long non-coding RNA, 431 nt
Filed under: Oryctolagus cuniculus (rabbit)
Lineage: Eukaryota; Metazoa; Chordata; Mammalia; Lagomorpha; Leporidae
Description: lncRNA (ENSOCUG00000037807.1)
Source: RNAcentral